GACAGAGGGGGCAAGCGUUGCUCGGAAUCACUGGGCGUAAAGGGCGCGUAGGCGGGAUGGCAAGUCAGUCGUGAAAUCUCUCGGCUCAACCGAGAAACGUCGGCUGAUACUGCCGUUCUUGAGGGAUGCAGAGGAGACUGGAAUUCCCGGUGUAGCGGUGAAAUGUGUAGAGAUCGGGAGGAACAUCAGUGGCGAAGGCGGCCUUCUGGUCCAGUACUGACACUCAAGUGCGAAAGCGUGGGGAGCAAACAGG
RNAcentral lists this ribosomal RNA (253 nucleotides) under uncultured bacterium. Its description in RNAcentral is "partial 16S ribosomal RNA". It matches the Rfam family "Bacterial small subunit ribosomal RNA", at positions 524 to 776 of the family's 1533-position model. The record is from RNAcentral.